CCAGACUCCUACGGGAGGCAGCAGUGAGGAAUAUUGGUCAAUGGUCGGGAGACUGAACCAGCCAAGCCGCGUGAGGGAGGAGGGUACAGAGUAUCGUAAACCUCUUUUGUCAGGGAACAAAGACUGGGACGCGUCCCCGGAUGAGUGUACCUGAAGAAAAAGCAUCGGCUAACUCCGUGCCAGCAGCCGCGGUAAUACGGAGGAUGCGAGCGUUAUCCGGAUUUAUUGGGUUUAAAGGGUGCGCAGGCGGAGGUGCAAGUCAGCGGUCAAAUUGCGGGGCUCAACCCCGUACUGCCGUUGAAACUGGCGGCCUCGAGUGGGCGAGAAGUAUGCGGAAUGCGUGGUGUAGCGGUGAAAUGCAUAGAUAUCACGCAGAACUCCGAUUGCGAAGGCAGCAUACCGGCGCCCUACUGACGCUGAGGCACGAAAGCGUGGGUAUCGAACAGGAUUAGAUACCCCAGUA
RNAcentral lists this ribosomal RNA (463 nucleotides) under uncultured bacterium. RNAcentral's name for it is "bacterial SSU rRNA". It matches the Rfam family "Bacterial small subunit ribosomal RNA", at positions 331 to 792 of the family's 1533-position model. The record is from RNAcentral.